Molecule: transfer RNA, 87 nt
Filed under: Xenopus laevis (African clawed frog)
Lineage: Eukaryota; Metazoa; Chordata; Amphibia; Anura; Pipidae
Rfam family: tRNA (bases 8-79)
About the family: Transfer RNA (tRNA) molecules are approximately 80 nucleotides in length.
Source: RNAcentral
GGCAAUCAGCAGAGUGGCGCAGCGGAAGCGUGCUGGGCCCAUAACCCAGAGGUCGAUGGAUCGAAACCAUCCUCUGCUAAAACUUUU